This is an RNA transcript of Setaria italica (foxtail millet), 1270 nucleotides long. RefSeq lists it as uncharacterized. The transcript is spliced from 4 exons. The record is from RefSeq and is a predicted model, not a curated record. NCBI's taxonomy places the organism in Eukaryota, Viridiplantae, Streptophyta, Magnoliopsida, Poales, Poaceae.
CCUUUGGGAACCUCGAACCCCGAGGGGAUCCCGUCGUUUUCCCGAGGAUAGAAGCCCCCGCGGAGAUCUGGACACGGGCCAAGUUACCCCGUCAUUUGGGAGAACACGAGACGGGGACAUCUGACCCGAUCCGCGAGUUUUCCGCGUGGCGAGGCCUCCCCACCUCGAGGGUCCGGACGGCGCUUCCCCGAGCGUCGUCGCGACCGAAGCGAUGCGAGGGAGCUAGCACCACUCGCCGCGACGCCGCCGCUCCGCCUCCGUCCAGGCGCUGUUGCCCCGCCUCCGUCUAGGCGCCACCGCUCCUCCGCCUUCCCGUCCGGGCAGCGGCACCACGCCGUCCUCCCUCGUCCAGCCGCCGCCUGUCAGGCAAGCAGAUCGCCACUCCACCAUCCCGUAAAGGCGCCGCCCGUCCGCCUCCUCAUCUUGAUCUGCUUCAGCGCCUCCACCUCGGCCGCCUCCUCUGCAGCCACCACGGCGCCUCCACCUCGUCUUCACCACCACUCCAGCAGUUGCAGCUCGCAAAGAGCGUAGGAGUUUGAUGAGGAAGGUAAAUUGGUGGAGGGAGAUCUUUGCUAUUUGAUCGUCAAUGAAAGAUUGCUGCAGCUAAGAGAAUGACAACUUCAGAGCAAGGAAGUGAAGAACAAGGAAACAAGGACAUGGAUGCUUUAAGUGCAGUUAUGGACAAGGUGAAGAGCCACCCGGAAGUGGUGGAGAAGGUCAAGAUGAGGUUAAGAGCCUUGCUGAUGCUCUUCAUCUGCAGAGGCAUCGAUCCAAAGAUAAAGAACCUGAGGCUGAAGAGAAAGUAGAGGAAGGCGAAGCUGCCCAGAACGCUGACGUUGCCGCCUCUGCUGACAAGACUGAAGAAUCGAAUGUGGAGCAAGCAGUAGAAGAAAUUCAGGCUGUCGUCGCAGUGGUGCAGCAGGAGCAGACAGCCCCCACAACUGAAACUCCAACUAAGACUGCUGCUACUGCUGAAACUUCAGCUGAAGGAGAGAAGCCUGAAGAAACAAACAGGGAGGUGGAGAAAGAUGACCCAAAGAAGCGGCUUGAUUUCUUAGGGUUCUUCACCAUGCUGUUUGAGAGGUUCUGCUCCCCUGCAACAAGAAGAAAGAUUAAAUGGUAUGCAGGUCAGGUGUGGAUUUCUCGUUGCGUGAUCUUGGACUUAAGCUGCUUACAUUAGCUAAUUCAGCAGACCCAACAAUAGCUGAUAUAUAUAGAACAUGCAAAACGAAACAUUGGAGACUAUAUUGAUUUUUUUUCUUUUUCCUGA